CAGUCGCCGCGGGAAGACAGAGGAUGCAAGCGUUAUCCGGAAUGAUUGGGCGUAAAGCGUGCGCAGGCGGCUUUGCAAGACAGAUGUGAAAUCCCCGGGCUCAACCUGGGAACUGCAUUUGUGACUGCAAGGCUAGAGUGCGGCAGAGGGAGAUGGAAUUCCGCGUGUAGCAGUGAAAUGCGUAGAUAUGCGGAGGAACACCGAUGGCGAAGGCAAUCUCCUGGGCCUGCACUGACGCUCAUGCACGAAAGCGUGGGGAGCAAACAGGAUUAGAUACCCCAGUAGUCCCUGUCUCUUAUAC
Molecule: ribosomal RNA, 301 nt
Filed under: uncultured bacterium
Lineage: Bacteria
Description: partial 16S ribosomal RNA
Rfam family: Bacterial small subunit ribosomal RNA
Source: RNAcentral